CGGGACGGGUGAGUAAUGUCUGGAAACGUAGCCUGAUGGAGGGGGAUAACUACUGGAAACGGUAGCUAAUACCGCAUAACGUCGCAAGACCAAAGAGGGGGACCUUCGGGCCUCUUGCCAUCGGAUGUGCCCAGAUGGGAUUAGCUAGUAGGUGGGGUAACGGCUCACCUAGGCGACGAUCCCUAGCUGGUCUGAGAGGAUGACCAGCCACACUGGAACUGAGACACGGUCCAG
RNAcentral lists this ribosomal RNA (234 nucleotides) under uncultured bacterium. Its description in RNAcentral is "partial 16S ribosomal RNA". It matches the Rfam family "Bacterial small subunit ribosomal RNA", at positions 100 to 334 of the family's 1533-position model. The record is from RNAcentral.